Molecule: ribosomal RNA, 716 nt
Filed under: bacterium 165_xplvp467
Lineage: Bacteria
Also listed under: 1 other name
Description: bacterial SSU rRNA
Rfam family: Bacterial small subunit ribosomal RNA
Source: RNAcentral
CUAUACAUGCAGUCGAGCGAAUCUUUAGGAGCUUGCUCCUGAAGGUUAGCGGCGGACGGGUGAGUAACACGUGGGCAACCUGCCUGUAAGACUGGGAUAACUUCGGGAAACCGGAGCUAAUACCGGAUAAUCCUUUUCUUCUCAUGAAGGAAAGCUGAAAGAUGGCGCAAGCUAUCACUUACAGAUGGGCCCGCGGCGCAUUAGCUAGUUGGUGAGGUAAUGGCUCACCAAGGCGACGAUGCGUAGCCGACCUGAGAGGGUGAUCGGCCACACUGGGACUGAGACACGGCCCAGACUCCUACGGGAGGCAGCAGUAGGGAAUCUUCCGCAAUGGACGAAAGUCUGACGGAGCAACGCCGCGUGAACGAUGAAGGCCUUCGGGUCGUAAAGUUCUGUUGUUAGGGAAGAACAAGUAUCGGAGUAACUGCCGGUACCUUGACGGUACCUAACCAGAAAGCCACGGCUAACUACGUGCCAGCAGCCGCGGUAAUACGUAGGUGGCAAGCGUUGUCCGGAAUUAUUGGGCGUAAAGCGCGCGCAGGCGGUCCUUUAAGUCUGAUGUGAAAGCCCACGGCUCAACCGUGGAGGGUCAUUGGAAACUGGGGGACUUGAGUACAGAAGAGGAAAGCGGAAUUCCACGUGUAGCGGUGAAAUGCGUAGAGAUGUGGAGGAACACCAGUGGCGAAGGCGGCUUUCUGGUCUGUAACUGACGCUGA